Molecule: unclassified non-coding RNA, 237 nt
Filed under: Hevea brasiliensis (rubber tree)
Lineage: Eukaryota; Viridiplantae; Streptophyta; Magnoliopsida; Malpighiales; Euphorbiaceae
Source: RNAcentral
AAAUAAUAGAAGCUAGAUGGAAAAGCUCAACAAGUUGAAGGCAUUGAAGUGGGCAACUAUGUCUCCUCAAUCAUUAUCCAACUUCAUACGUCAUAAUUGAUAGACAACAAGCACCACAUGAUUUCUUGUCCCAAAUUUCAAUAUUGUUUAUUUAUUUGUCUAUAUUCUAUAACAUGUGAUCAAUUUUUGCAUGACUUUUUGGCUUUUUCAACUUAUUUUCAGGGCAAGAUGGAUUUU